CCAUUUAAAGAAAAAUAUUUUCUAAUAAAUUCUUUUUAGAAAUAGGUCAGCAGCCUUUUGUAUAAGAAAUAGUGUUGGAGAUUUGAUCAGUGCUAGGGGAAGAAGAUUACAAGACACUACUAACAUUAUUGCAGAGCUUAUAGCUAUAAAAGAUGGUCUGAAAUUUUGUCUAGAGAAUCAUCUGAUUCCAGUUAUAGUUGAACAAAUUCAUUAGCUAUGAGAAACAUGUUGGAAGGAGAAUGGGAGGUUCCUUGGUGUGUGACAUUGGAAGUUAAUGCAAUUCAAGCCAUGAGGGAGGGUUAUGAUGUGCAAGUUGUGCAUGUGCUCAGAGAAAGGAAUACUCUGGCUGAUUAUUUCACUAACCUGAUUUUUUAUUUGCAGGCACAAUUGAAUUCAAUUCAUUUCAGGAGGUUCCAUUAACAGGGAAGAAGAUCAUCAACCCGGACAAGAGUCAAACACCUAAGAUGAGAACAACGCCCAUGAGAAGAGAAGGACAAGACUGAGUCACAUCAAAUUACAUGUAACAAGUCUGAGGAUUGAGAAUACAACUUGCAUGCUCUAUGGAUGCAUUUCAGUGACAGAUGGAUUCAACAUUAGGUUAAUUUGAUGGUGGUAUUAGCAUGCUCUAUCCACGUGGCCUUUCUUCAACAGCCUCAUCGGCGUCAACUUUAAAAUUUCUCCGACGCCGCCGGUAACGUUUCAUCCUCAUAGGGAAACGCCGUUUCAAUGGAGGUCUCAGGUGGACGGUGUCACGAAGGAAUUUGUGGACGGAGGAAUCGAGUUUGGCGGCAUCGGCUAUGGCCAUUAAUGCUUGUAGAAACAAGAGAGAGAGAAAUGGGGGGUUAUAGCUGAGGCAAUAGGAAGGUUUUCGGAGAUAUAUCAAAGAGUAGACAAGGCAAAACAGAGACCAAUGGUGGAGUUGAAAUUUGCUGAAGAUUUGGAGAUACAACAGAGAAGGAAACUGAUUAUGGAGUCACAAGUGCAUCUUAAAUGCUCGGACGUAGAUUGCAAUCCAGUCCACACGAGUGCUUGUGCAUGUAUCCUGUGUUGCGCGGACUCGACCCUUCAAAAGUAGUACAUAUUUGGAGGAUAUGACAAAGGCUGAAAACUCUAUUUUCCUUGUCUUGGAGUUUUGUGCUGGCGGGGAUCUGGCUUCUUAUAUUUAGAAUCAUGGCAGAGUUCAAGAAUGUGUAGCUAGAAAAUUUAUGAGACAGAUUGGAGCUGGCCUAGAGGUACUAAGCAUGCACCAAAUCAUCCACCGUGACUUGAAGCCGGAGCAAAAAGGUUCUCUUUCUGGAUGUUGAGCACGAAAAUUGAGCAUUUUGCAGCAUCGUCACUUCAAUUCGGCUAGAGGUGCUUGGAGUGAGCUAGAGGAGUGCUUUUCAUAUCGCUUUUCUGCAUGUGGACUUAUUUUAUGCCUUGAAAGGAUGACAGAUAACCUUCUUAAAAAAAAAAAAGGAUUACAGAUGAUUCUACCCCAAUUGUCUCACCCUACUUUUAUGGGACUAUGUCAGACACUGCUAUGGACUAAGAGAGAGAAGGUAGUCUAUCCAAGGGGUGGAAGUCACUUCUUUUAUCAUAUGUUCGCGUCUCUUUCAUCAUAGACAGUUUCUCCAUGAGUUUAAGGGGUUCAUGUUGCUAAGGAAAUCAAUUCAGCGAUACUGAUUCCAAC
Molecule: long non-coding RNA, 1672 nt
Organism: Lycium ferocissimum
Lineage: Eukaryota; Viridiplantae; Streptophyta; Magnoliopsida; Solanales; Solanaceae
Exons: 4
Source: RefSeq, a predicted model, not a curated record